This 253-nucleotide ribosomal RNA is filed under the name uncultured bacterium. Its description in RNAcentral is "partial 16S ribosomal RNA". It matches the Rfam family "Bacterial small subunit ribosomal RNA", at positions 524 to 776 of the family's 1533-position model. The record is from RNAcentral.
GACAGAGGGUGCAAACGUUGUUCGGAAUUACUGGGCGUAAAGGGCGCGUAGGCGGCCUUCUAAGUCAUGCGUGAAAUCCCCGGGCUCAACCCGGGGACUGCGUCUGAUACUGGAAGGCUUGAAUCCGGGAGAGGGAUGUGGAAUUCCAGGUGUAGCGGUGAAAUGCGUAGAUAUCUGGAGGAACACCGGUGGCGAAGGCGGCAUCCUGGACCGGCAUUGACGCUGAGGCGCGAGAGCAAGGGGAGCAAACAGG